This 68-nucleotide transfer RNA is filed under the name Marmota monax (woodchuck). RNAcentral describes it as "tRNA.Undet". Lineage: Eukaryota; Metazoa; Chordata; Mammalia; Rodentia; Sciuridae. The record is from RNAcentral.
GUUGUGGCUCAGUGGUAGAGCACUUUCCUAGCAUUUUUGAGGCACUGGGUUCAAUCCUCAGCACCACG